GAUGAACGCUGGCGGCGUGCCUAAUACAUGCAAGUCGAGCGAACGGACGAGAAGCUUGCUUCUCUGAUGUUAGCGGCGGACGGGUGAGUAACACGUGGAUAACCUACCUAUAAGACUGGGAUAACUUCGGGAAACCGGAGCUAAUACCGGAUAAUAUUUUGAACCGCAUGGUUCAAAAGUGAAAGACGGUCUUGCUGUCACUUAUAGAUGGAUCCGCGCUGCAUUAGCUAGUUGGUAAGGUAACGGCUUACCAAGGCAACGAUGCAUAGCCGACCUGAGAGGGUGAUCGGCCACACUGGAACUGAGACACGGUCCAGACUCCUACGGGAGGCAGCAGUAGGGAAUCUUCCGCAAUGGGCGAAAGCCUGACGGAGCAACGCCGCGUGAGUGAUGAAGGUCUUCGGAUCGUAAAACUCUGUUAUUAGGGAAGAACAUAUGUGUAAGUAACUGUGCACAUCUUGACGGUACCUAAUCAGAAAGCCACGGCUAACUACGUGCCAGCAGCCGCGGUAAUACGUAGGUGGCAAGCGUUAUCCGGAAUUAUUGGGCGUAAAGCGCGCGUAGGCGGUUUUUUAAGUCUGAUGUGAAAGCCCACGGCUCAACCGUGGAGGGUCAUUGGAAACUGGAAAACUUGAGUGCAGAAGAGGAAAGUGGAAUUCCAUGUGUAGCGGUGAAAUGCGUAGAGAUAUGGAGGAACACCAGUGGCGAGGGCGACUUUCUGGUCUGUAACUGACGCUGAUGUGCGAAAGCGUGGGGAUCAAACAGGAUUAGAUACCCUGGUAGUCCACGCCGUAAACGAUGAGUGCUAAGUGUUAGGGGGUUUCCGCCCCUUAGUGCUGCAGCUAACGCAUUAAGCACUCCGCCUGGGGAGUACGACCGCAAGGUUGAAACUCAAAGGAAUUGACGGGGACCCGCACAAGCGGUGGAGCAUGUGGUUUAAUUCGAAGCAACGCGAAGAACCUUACCAAAUCUUGACAUCCUUUGACAACUCUAGAGAUAGAGCUUUCCCCUUCGGGGGACAAAGUGACAGGUGGUGCAUGGUUGUCGUCAGCUCGUGUCGUGAGAUGUUGGGUUAAGUCCCGCAACGAGCGCAACCCUUAAGCUUAGUUGCCAUCAUUAAGUUGGGCACUCUAAGUUGACUGCCGGUGACAAACCGGAGGAAGGUGGGGAUGACGUCAGAUCAUCAUGCCCCUUAUGAUUUGGGCUACACACGUGCUACAAUGGACAAUACAAAGGGCAGCGAAACCGCGAGGUCAAGCAAAUCCCAUAAAGUUGUUCUCAGUUCGGAUUGUAGUCUGCAACUCGACUACAUGAAGCUGGAAUCGCUAGUAAUCGUAGAUCAGCAUGCUACGGUGAAUACGUUCCCGGGUCU
RNAcentral lists this ribosomal RNA (1372 nucleotides) under uncultured bacterium. RNAcentral describes it as "bacterial SSU rRNA". It matches the Rfam family "Bacterial small subunit ribosomal RNA", at positions 28 to 1381 of the family's 1533-position model. The record is from RNAcentral.